GUGAUGCUCUAUGGGAGGAUACCUCAGCCAACUGACACAAGAGCGAGCCAUCAAAGAAAGCCCAGAGGAGCAGCGGCAGAGGCAGACAGCUUUUAUCCUGAUCCACCAUGACUUUACUAAGGUCUCCGUCCUUCCUGCCACAGUGCCUGAAGCCAGGAGCUCGCUGAAAGCAGCCACCCUUUGUCACAUCCAGGAGACAUGCACAAGGAUGGUUAGCCAUCACCUCACAAGCAGCAAUCCUAAUGGGUCACACUGCAUUAAAAAUUGCCUUUUAACAAAGCCAUCAGCUGGCAGAACCAUGUGGAAGUAGAAGAAGUUCAUUCUCUGACACACUGCAUAUAACCGGAAGUAUGAAACCUUGUGGCUUUCAAGAUACGGGAUUUCUCGAAAAUACGAUUUGCAGCAGAAGACAGAAAAAUGAUAAGAAAAAUUGCAUCUGCCACUGCCAAUCUAGACGUUUCCCAAUGAAACCUUCCCCGGAAAUGGUCAUUUCUCUAUUGAACUGUGCACAUAAGUUACCUACCUCGCUAAUUACUUCAAAAUUACCUUGCAAAUUACUUCAAAAAUAUUUCAAAAGGAAAUAUAAUAUAAAGGAAGUUAGCCCCCAAACAAUCCUGGUAUUCAUUAGCAGUCUCCUUUCCAAGUACUAACCAGGGUUGACACUGUUUAGCCUCCACGAUCAGACAAAAUCUGCUACCUUUAAAAUAUUUAGGCCAGAGGUCCUAGCUCUGUCUAUUAUUCAUACUUGGAUUUGGUAGAAUCUGAGGCCCCUUCCACACAGCUGUAUAAAAUUCACAUUAAACUGGAUUAUAUGGAAGUAUGGACUCAGAUAACCUAGUUCAAAGCAGAUAUUGUGGAUUAUCUGCCUUGAUAUUCUGGGUUAUAUGGCUGUGUAAAAAGACUCUGAGGUUCUCCAUGCCACUGCAAAUCCCAAACCAGUUAAUUUAACCCUCAUACCAAAGACCUAUUGUGUUAACUUUCUUGAGUUUCAGUUUGGAAUUUCAUCUGCCUUACAUAUGAGACCCAGCCCCUCCCACUGCAAACGCGUGCUUCAACAAACACACAUGAUGCAAUGUAAGCUGGAAGUGAAUCAGUAUCCCAAAGGAAAAUGUUCAUGACUCAUGCUUUUGAGGGCUUAUCUCACCACCAAUCUCUAAAGAGUUGAGAAAAGAAUGACGACAUUGUACACAGGGAUUAACUCCUGAGCAGCAGUCGCAUUGUUCCCUCCCACCCAACACUUAGGUAUCCCUCCUGAAUAUACUUCUUAGGUUUCAGUUGCCAAUUGCUUCUCAUUCUGAAAUUGAGACUAGAAUGUGAGAAAAAUCACACGGUCAGUCAGCCCUAGCUAUCAGCUGAUUCUGCAUCCACAGAUUCAACCAUCCUUGACUUCAAAUUACUCAAAAAAGGAUUCCACAAAGAAGACAAUGAGCUAUUAGAUGUAGAAAGCCUAAAUCUCCCAUAUGGGUGGCAUGCAUAUUUUGACAUACAAACGGCCAAACCAACAGGCAUAUUUAAUGACCAUUACAUAUGGAGACCAAUUCUAACACUCGGAACAGAUAUAAAAAAAGAAUUUAUACAAAGACACCACAGUGGAUGUCCCCACAUGAAGCAUACUACAAAAGGGAGAACAUCCUACGAGGGAAAUAGUUAACUUACAAGGAGCUGAUCCAGACCGACUUAGAAAACUCAGAAAUGAAACCCCUAGGAGAAAUGAACCCAAUGGGCCUUAAAUGCAGUUGGCUUCUAUGGGGAGAAUCCAUUACAGAUUUGCUGAUAAUGGAUAAAAUAACUGUACUCUCAAGAGGAGAACCUUUAGAGAACUUUGUCAAUGAAUGACCACCAAUGAUUCAACAUCUCAAUGUAAAAUUAAUCUAAAAUGUACAUAGGGGAACCUAUAAGACUAUAUAGACAAGGAGAAAAUGGAUAUUAAUUUGGAGCCUAUGCUAUCUUUAUAUGUUAUAUUUAAAUAGAAUACUGUGACCUCUUAAAGAAAAUAUAUUACCAGAGAAAUGAUUAUGGAAGACUAAUAGCUGGAAAGCAUUGCACUGUAUGCAACAAACACUCACAAAUAUAUGGCUAUUUGAAUAAAAAUAAAUAAAUAAAUAAUUUCAGUUAUCCUUUAAAAAAAGGAUUCCACAAAGCAAUCCUUGAUGCUUCCAUUUUAUACAAGGGGUACCGUUUUCCAAUGCAUUAUAUACAAUUAAAUUUAAGCAUCCGUGGAUUUUAGUAUUCAUGAAGGCUACUGAAACCAAACUUCAGCAGCUACCAAGGAGCCAUGGUAUUGUCCAAACAGGAACCUAACUAAUCUCUUGAUAUAUUAGUGAAGGAUCAAGUUACAUAAUCAGCUGUAGUAGUAAUGAGCAAAUUUUAAAUGCAAUGAUUUACCAGUUUGCCUCUACUCUCAGGCACACUUUUCAAGCUCUAAGAACACACAUGUACAUUAUAGUUGUUUUCAAUCACUAUAUACAGUAGUUGUCAGUCAUGAUUGUGCAUGAGCCCUUCUUGUGGA
Anolis carolinensis (green anole) is the source of this 2509-nucleotide long non-coding RNA. RefSeq lists it as uncharacterized. The transcript is spliced from 3 exons. NCBI's taxonomy places the organism in Eukaryota, Metazoa, Chordata, Lepidosauria, Squamata, Anolidae. The record is from RefSeq and is a predicted model, not a curated record.